UACGUAGGCAGCAAGCGUUGUUCGGAAUUACUGGGCGUAAAGAGUGCGUAGGUGGUUGGCUAAGUUUGGUGUGAAAUCUCCCGGCUCAACUGGGAGGGUGCGCCGAAAACUGGCUGGCUAGAGUGUGGGAGAGGGACGUGGAAUUCCUGGUGUAGCGGUGAAAUGCGUAGAUAUCAGGAGGAACACCUGCGGUGUAGACGGCGUCCUGGACCAUUACUGACACUGAGGCACGAAAGCGUGGGGAGCAAACAGG
RNAcentral lists this ribosomal RNA (253 nucleotides) under uncultured bacterium. RNAcentral describes it as "partial 16S ribosomal RNA". It matches the Rfam family "Bacterial small subunit ribosomal RNA", at positions 524 to 776 of the family's 1533-position model. The record is from RNAcentral.